This 939-nucleotide non-coding RNA is filed under the name Mimachlamys nobilis (noble scallop). Its description in RNAcentral is "12S ribosomal RNA". The stretch from base 156 to 939 matches the Rfam family "Bacterial small subunit ribosomal RNA". The record is from RNAcentral. Lineage: Eukaryota; Metazoa; Mollusca; Bivalvia; Pectinida; Pectinidae.
GGUUAGUUUGGUUCUGGUUACUUAGCUUGAGUAUAAUUUGAUCGGUUAACACAUGGUAGUUUAGGCGCAGAAUGAGUAAGAUAGGUUUAUUUUUAGAAUAGGCAAAAGCCUUUUUUUGGAAUCUCACUAUCCACAAUUAAGAAGAAUAUUCGAUGACUGUUAGUAGUUAGUUCAUAACUCCAGUGGAAAGGUUUUAACCAUGAGCGUAAGCUUGAUUAAGUCAUGAUUAAUUAGGGGAGUCUAACCAGGUGCCAGCAGUCGCGGUUAAACCUGAGUUGCCCGACUCAAGAUUCACAGCGUAAAAGGUGGUAAGAUGGCCUUCCUUAAUUUAAGGUGUGAGGAAAUAAGGAAGCCGAUCUGAGGAGGAUAGGGGUAUAAUCUGUUUGAUCCUUUGAGAAAGGUGAAUAGCUUUCUUUAGGCUGAAACCACGGAACCGGUAUAUAGGAGACAUGGAUUAGAUACCCAUUUAUUCCCGGCGCAAACUUUGCUAUAAGGCGGCUGCUUGAGUACUACGAGCGAUGGCUUAAAACUCAAAGGAUUUGGCGGCUCGUUAAUUACCCAGGGGAAUAUGCGCCUUAAUCCGAUGAUCCGCGUAACAUCUUACUGUACCUUGAAGAAGAACAGCUGGUGUAUUGCCGUUGUCAGCUUGUUGUUCGAGCAGAGAGAAACAGGCUCAAUGGAGCUAGCAAUGUUUAUUGAAAGAAUCCAUGAAUUCAGGUCGAAAUACUGCCAAUGGUACAAGGGAGUGGGUAUUACAAUUCAGAGUUUGAAUUACGGAUCCUGUAAAUGAAAGUAUCAGGUGAAGGUGGACUUGGGAGUAAGGGGGGAUUAAUAUGCCUCUCUGAACGUAAAUCUAACUUGUGCACAAACCGCCCGUCGCUCUCGCCAGGAGGGGAGAUAAGUCGUAACAAGGUAGGGGUACCGGAAGGUGCGCCCUGA